UACGGGGGGAGCAAGCGUUGUUCGGAUUUACUGGGCGUAAAGGGCGCGUAGGCGGCCAGCGCAAGUCAGUUGUGAAAUCUCCGAGCUUAACUCGGAAAGGUCAACUGAUACUGCGCGGCUAGAGUGCAGAAGGGGCAACUGGAAUUCUCGGUGUAGCGGUGAAAUGCGUAGAUAUCGAGAGGAACACCAGUGGCGAAGGCGGCUACCUGGACCGGUUCUGACGCUGAGGCGCGAAAGCGUGGGUAGCAAACAGG
Molecule: ribosomal RNA, 254 nt
Filed under: uncultured prokaryote
Description: partial 16S ribosomal RNA
Rfam family: Bacterial small subunit ribosomal RNA
Source: RNAcentral